Molecule: long non-coding RNA, 947 nt
Organism: Neoarius graeffei (lesser salmon catfish)
Lineage: Eukaryota; Metazoa; Chordata; Actinopteri; Siluriformes; Ariidae
Exons: 4
Source: RefSeq, a predicted model, not a curated record
UCCUGUAUGACCUCAGAGAUAAAGGUGUGUGCAUCUGGAAGGGAGGUCUUUGUGUGGCAGCAUUUCAGCUGCGUACAAGCCAUGAAAUUGCAAGUGAGAAAAGGAAGUGUGUGUUAAUUUCUACCACUCACCACUGAAUUCAGGUUUCCUUGUGGUGCAUCCUUCUCGUGGCUUCAGCAGAUUUUCAUCUCAGUGGCCUGUCUGUGACUUUAGCUGUUCUGCUACGAUACCACUUCACACCUUGUGAUCAUGGACGUCAGAUAUUCUGAGGACUAUUAUAACCCAAGUAACUACAGAUAUCCUGGGGCACCGUAUUCAACCAUUCGUCCUCCUGUUUAUUAUGAUGCCCUGAUGAUCAGCAUCUCCCUCGUCGCUGGUGUGUGUGUAAGCCUGCCAGCUUUGAUUUGGGCUCUUCAUGUUCUUUACACUCUCCACAAACAAGGAGGCCAAAUUUCAACCUUCAUCAUCCUCCUCAUCAUCAAUGACUUGGCUGAGCUGCUCACGAGUGCAAUUAUAUCAACAUAUUUAAUAGACAGCCUUGUAAAGUCCAGUGCUACAAGAUCUUUCAAUUCUUCCAUUGAAGCGUAUUUGACAGAUAUCAGGAUUUUUAUUCAUUUAUUUAUUACAUUUAGAAUCUGUGGUCUUUUCCUCCACCAACUUGUGGCUCUGAAGAGCGUGCUUUCUCUCAAACACCAGCUCUGCUCUGCUCAUGUCUUCUCUCCUCUCUGCUCCACCAUUUCCUGCAUCAUUCUGUGGCUGAUUGUCUUUGGAUUGCAGUUCAUAAAUAUGUGGUUCAAUGUGAUUUUUAGCUUUUUGCCUUGUUGCAUUUUAGUCAUCACAUGCAUACUCACUUGCAAAGCCUCUCCUGCAUCUGACCACAUCAAGCCCAGCUCAGCAGUGCUGAUCGUUUCCACAUUCACACUUAUCACUUUCUGCACAACAGCUGG